CGCCGGCCUUGGCCUCCCAAAGUGCUGGGAUUACAGACCCGGCCAGCCUAAACGAUUUUUAAAACAAGUUAGAGAUUUUGGGUUAGUCUUGUUUUCCAGGAAUAAAGUACCAUUUUUAGUGGCCAAGAAUGUACCAGAGGGUGUGGCCCUGUGACAUCCGGCUGGGUCUGCCCAGGGCCCCCCUCAGCGACCGAUGCUUUCUAGGAUUUAUGCUGCCAGUUGCAGAGAAAAUGGCCCUGAGUGAGGGCACUAUGACUGCCCCACCUGCCUCCUGUAACCGCGUGGCUGUGGGAUUCGGGGCCGGGAAUUUGGGUUCCUGUGGGGCCAGCACACGGCCCUGUGCUUCUCCCUCUUGCGGAGAGAGGGUGGGGGCGGCCCCGUGCAUCUCCUGCUCUAGCAGGGAGGGACGGUGGGGGCCGGUGCGCCAGUGCGGUGUCUCUGCUGCAGGUGGCUGGGCUGACGCUGCUGGCUGUCGGGGUCUACUCAGCCAAGAAUGCGACAGCCGUCACUAGCCGCUUCAUCGAAGCUCGGCUGGGGAAGCCGUCCCUAGUGAGGGAGACGUCCCGCAUCACGGUGCUGGAGGCGCUGCGGCACCCCAUCCAGGUCAGCCGGCGGCUCCUCAGUCGACCCCAGGACGUGCUGGAGGGUGUUGUGCUGAGUGUAAGUCGGUGUGCCUGGGACCGGGGAGGCGCGGCGGGGGGACCCCGGAGCUGGGCCGGGCUGUGGCCCUCGCUGGCGCUCGUGGUGGCGCCCAGGAGCUUUUGGCUCCUGAGAUGCGACUGCUUGGACUGUGCCGGGGAUAGAUAGGCUGCCCGCGAGCUGGGCGGCUUCCCAAGGAGCAGAGUCCGCACCCGGGCAUUCCCCCAGCCCCUGUCACCGAGGCUUCCGUGGGUGCAGAGUGUCUCCCCCAAACCCCCGUCUUCCCCGGCAGCCCAGCCUGGAAGCACGGGUGCGCGACAUCGCCAUAGCAACAAGGAACACCAAGAAGAACCGGGGCCUGUACAGGCACAUCCUGCUGUACGGGCCACCAGGCACCGGGAAGACGCUCUUUGCCAAGAAACUCGCCCUGCACUCAGGCAUGGACUACGCCAUCAUGACAGGCGGGGACGUGGCCCCCAUGGGGCGGGAAGGCGUGACCGCCAUGCACAAGCUCUUUGACUGGGCCAAUACCAGCCGGCGCGGGAGGAGAUAAGCAAGGACCUCAGAGCCACACUGAACGCCUUCCUGUACCACAUGGGCCAGCACAGCAACAAGUGAGGGAGCCCCUCGGGUCCUGGGCCCCCGGGCAGGGCUGUGCAGCCGUCGCCCUUGGUUCCCACUGAGGGUCCCUGGCUCACAGUGCUGGGCACCAGCUGUGGCCUCAGUGUGCCCACCUCAGAUGUCCCCUGGGAACGGCCCAGCUCGGGACAGCACGGGGUGUCACUGAGGAACAUGCGGGGCCUCCCGGGCAGAGCUGGGGUCAGUCCUGUCCUCACGGCCCUGUGCGCCGCCGCCCCAGCUUGCAGGUCCCUGUGCCCUAGGUUUUUGGGGUCCUGUGCCUGCAAGGGAGGUGGUCUGAUUGCUGCCGCCCAGAGGUCCCCAGUAGGGUGACCGGCCCUAUGUCCAGGCUCCCUUGUCCCUCCCAAAUCCCUUAAUUUUGAGUUUUCUUGGUCUCCUGGGCCCCUCCAGCCCCAGUCACAUGUCACACGGAGAAUCAAGUCCUGCUGGUCGGCCGUGGCUGACUCCUCAGGCAGGUUGGGCUCCCUGGUCAGCUGCUGCCGGUAGACGUUCCCUGGAGCCCUGACUCAGGUCCUUCCCAGAGAGGCAAGGCUGGGGCCCUGCUGAGCCUCUGCUGAACCCGGGCCCCCGAGGUCCUGCUUCUGGCUCGCAUGGCCAUAAUCUUGACAUGGACUUUGGGUCCCGCAUCCCUGCUCCCAGCACAGCGGGGCUCAGGAAGCAGGAGGAAGUGGUGUUCCCAGCGCUGCCUAUCAGGCUGGGCGAGGGUCAGCGGGGAAGUACCACACAGGGCGAGAACAGAGACCCGAGAAGCCGGGCGGGGGGCAGCUGGGCGUGGUGGGGCAGGCAGGCGGGUGACCAGGGCUGUGGCCGCGUUCUCCCCAUGUUUCCUGUGCUCACAAGCUGCCGCUUUAGAUUCUCCCAAAAAGUCUCCCCGAGGGGGCUGAGGAGCCCCCGUUGCCCUCGGGGCAUCUCGGCCGGCAGCCCCAGCGUUUCCUUCCCCAUCCCUGUCCUACAGAUUCAUGCUGGUCCUGGCCAGCAAUCUGCCUGAGCAGUUUGACUGCGCCAUCAACAGCCGCAUCGACGUGAUGGUCCACUUCGACCUGCCGCAGCAGGAGGAGCGGGAGCGCCUGGUGAGACUGCAUUUUGACAACUGUGUUCUUAAGCCAGCCACAGAAGGAAAACGGUGAGUGUCCCGCCUCACCCGGCCCCCAAUCCAGGCGCCAUAUGGCAUGGGUGUAGGCCGGCUGCCUGUCUUCCGGCCUCCACCUCGUGGUGUGGGGUCUGCGGCCUUGGCUGCCUCACUUGGGAACUCCUUCCCCAGGCGCCUGAAGCUGGCCCAGUUUGACUACGGGAGUAAGUGCUCGGAGGUCGCUCGGCUGACGGAGGGCAUGUCGGGCCGGGAGAUCGCUCAGCUGGCCGUGUCCUGGCAGGCCACGGCGUAUGCCUCCAAGGACGGGGUCCUCACUGAGGCCAUGAUGGACGCCUGUGUGCAAGAUGCUGUCCAGCAGUACCGACAGAAGAUGCGCUGGCUGAAGGCGGAGGGGCCUGGGCGCGGGGUUGAGCACCCCCUAUCCCGAGUCCAAGGCGAGACUCGCACCUCAUGGAGCCUGGCCGCGGACCCCUCCUACCCCUGCCUUGCCGGCCCCUGCACAUUUAGGAUAUGCUCCUGGGUGGGGACUGGGCUGUGCCCAGGGCCUCUGUCCCCCAGGAUGUCUUGUGGUGGGGGUCAGCCGUUCUGCCCCUCAGGACACCCCCUGUUGUAGGCACUGGCUAGGGAGGGGCAGGCCUCCUUCCUGCCCCUCGAGACACUCUUGGGAGAUGCAUUUUCCGUCUGGCUCACAGGGGGAGGGUGAGGCUUUGUACCCCAGCCCCUGCCCAGGCCACUGGGAGGGUGGGUGCUGGCUGAGCCCCUGGGGCAGAAGGAGUGGGGCAGGCGGGGUCUUUGUUCUUGGCUCCCACAGCAGAGCCAGGUGAGCCGGGGCCUGUCAGGACUAGACAGAAGUGGGGCGGCCUGAACACUGCUUCCAGCCGUGGCCAGGGAACCUGGCAGGGGUGUCUGAGGCCGCACUGUCGGCUGGCCGGUCCAAGCCUGUGGCUGGAGCUGGUGUGUGUUUAUCUAAUAAAGUCCCACAGGUGCCUC
Molecule: small RNA, 3358 nt
Filed under: Pan troglodytes (chimpanzee)
Lineage: Eukaryota; Metazoa; Chordata; Mammalia; Primates; Hominidae
Description: retained intron
Source: RNAcentral